Long non-coding RNA from Calypte anna (Anna's hummingbird), 432 nucleotides. RefSeq lists it as uncharacterized. The transcript has 4 exons. Lineage: Eukaryota; Metazoa; Chordata; Aves; Apodiformes; Trochilidae. The record is from RefSeq and is a predicted model, not a curated record.
CUCCCCCCCAGCCCCGCCUACAACAUGGCCGCCGCCCGAAGGUUGGUUCUGACGAGCGUCCGCCAGGGUCCGGUGCCCCUCGAGGGUCUGAUCCCCCCCGGGACCCCCCGAGGAACCGUGGGGAGGAUUUUUUCUGUCUGUCUGGAUUAAAUUAGAUUCCUGGUUUUCUUCCUCACCAGUUGAACUUGUUACUGUCAUCGGGGAAUGAAAACUUCCCUCUCCUUGUCUCAGGAAGGCUUCAGGUUCUCUCCUGGAGGGCAAAAUAUUCCUCAGAACUGAGCAGUGUCCUUGGCUCUGCACAACACUCUCUGGCCUCUGCUCUCUCCUCAUGUAACGCUUGGCUGUGGCGAGAGCGCUGAAAUCCGGUACUGAAACGCCUCGGAAUAACAAUCUCACCGUGCCUGCUGUCGGUUUUACUCGGUUUUCGUGCUA